RNAcentral lists this ribosomal RNA (273 nucleotides) under uncultured bacterium. Its description in RNAcentral is "partial 16S ribosomal RNA". It matches the Rfam family "Bacterial small subunit ribosomal RNA", at positions 523 to 796 of the family's 1533-position model. The record is from RNAcentral.
AUACGGAGGGUCCAAGCGUUAUCCGGAAUCAUUGGGUUUAAAGGGUCCGCAGGCGGUCAAUUAAGUCAGAGGUGAAAGCCCAUCGCUCAACGAUGGAACUGCCUUUGAUACUGGUUGACUUGAGUUAUACGGAAGUAGAUAGAAUAAGUAGUGUAGCGGUGAAAUGCAUAGAUAUUACUUAGAAUACCGAUUGCGAAGGCAGUCUACUACGUAUAUACUGACGCUGAGGGACGAAAGCGUGGGGAGCGAACAGGAUUAGAAACCCAGUAGUCC